Molecule: ribosomal RNA, 446 nt
Filed under: uncultured bacterium
Lineage: Bacteria
Description: bacterial SSU rRNA
Rfam family: Bacterial small subunit ribosomal RNA
Source: RNAcentral
AACGAACGCUGGCGGCAGGCCUAACACAUGCAAGUCGAACGCUCGUAGCAAUACGAGAGUGGCAGACGGGUGAGUAACACGUGGGAACCUUCCCUAUGGUUCGGAAUAGCUCAGGGAAACUUGGGGUAAUACCGGAUAAGCCCUUCGGGGAAAGAUUUAUUGCCAUUGGAUGGGCCCGCGUCGGAUUAGCUAGUUGGUGAGGUAACGGCUCACCAAGGCAACGAUCCGUAGCUGGUCGAGAGGAUGAUCAGCCACACUGGGACUGAGACACGGCCCAGACUCCUACGGGAGGCAGCAGUGGGGAAUAUUGGACAAUGGGCGCAAGCCUGAUCCAGCCAUGCCGCGUGAGUGACGAAGGUCUUCGGAUUGUAAAACUCUUUUGGCGGGGACGAUAAUGACGGUACCCGCAGAAUAAGCCCCGCUAACUUCGUGCCAGCCGCCGCCGU